UUCUGGUUAGCUGAGUUGGCAGAGCACUCCGCUGAAAAUGGAGAUGGUCCUUGGUUCGAUACCAGGACCAGACG
RNAcentral lists this transfer RNA (74 nucleotides) under Ixodes scapularis (black-legged tick). It matches the Rfam family "tRNA". Rfam says of the family: Transfer RNA (tRNA) molecules are approximately 80 nucleotides in length. Their secondary structure includes four short double-helical elements and three loops (D, anti-codon, and T loops). Lineage: Eukaryota; Metazoa; Arthropoda; Arachnida; Ixodida; Ixodidae. The record is from Rfam by way of RNAcentral.